This 76-nucleotide transfer RNA is filed under the name Glacieibacterium arshaanense. RNAcentral's name for it is "Polymorphobacter sp. DJ1R-1 tRNA-Lys". It matches the Rfam family "tRNA". Rfam says of the family: Transfer RNA (tRNA) molecules are approximately 80 nucleotides in length. Lineage: Bacteria; Pseudomonadati; Pseudomonadota; Alphaproteobacteria; Sphingomonadales; Sphingosinicellaceae. The record is from RNAcentral.
GUGCCCGUAGCUCAAUAGGUAGAGCGGGAGAUUUUUACCCUCUAGGUCGCGAGUUCGAAUCUCGCCGGGCACUCCA